Molecule: small RNA, 384 nt
Filed under: Drosophila virilis
Lineage: Eukaryota; Metazoa; Arthropoda; Insecta; Diptera; Drosophilidae
Description: GJ26897
Source: RNAcentral
CAAAGUCAAAAUUGUACUUUUUUAUGUCUCCACCCAUUCCCAAUCAAAAUUGAAAAAUAGUCAUUUUAAAAUAUUAGGCUUCAAAAAUUUCAUAUAGAUCGGACUAUACGCUCCGAAGUUAAUCAAGCAUGCAUUUCUUUUGGUGUGGGUCUUAGGCGGGCGGUCGCUCAAGACGACACUUAAUUAUGUUUUGCGUUUGCAGCGGCAGGACCAAGUUUCUCCAAGUGCAAGAAAAAUUGCUGGAAAAUGUCAAAAUGAUUUCCGCCCGUUGUUCAAAGCUGGGCAUCAUAAAUUAUUGAAAUUGCCCGUCUGUCAUAGCCAUAGUUGCCUGUUUCACUCUAUUGUGUUUGAGUUUUCUGCAAUGCUUAAGCUUUAUUUCUCUUU